GACGAACGCUGGCGGCGUGCUUAACACAUGCAAGUCGAACGGAAAGGCCCUUCUUUUGUGGGGUGCUCUAGUGGCGAACGUGUGAGUAACACGUGAGUAACCUGCCCUUGACUUUGGGAUAACUUCAGGAAACUGGGGCUAAUACCGGAUAGGAGCUCCUGCUGCAUGGUGGGGGUUGGAAAGUUUCGGCGGUUGGGGAUGGACUCGCGGCUUAUCAGCUUGUUGGUGGGGUAGUGGCUUACCAAGGCUUUGCCGGGUAGCCGGCCUGAGAGGGUGACCGGCAACAUUGGGACUGAGAUACGGCCCAGACUCCUACGGGAGGCAGCAGUGGGGAAUAUUGCACAAUGGGCGGAAGCCUGAUGCAGCAACGCCGCGUGUGGGAUGACGGCCUUCGGGUUGUAAACCGCUUUCGCCUGUGACGAAGCGUGAGUGACGGUAAUGGGUAAAGAAGCACCGGCUAACUACGUG
Molecule: ribosomal RNA, 468 nt
Filed under: uncultured bacterium
Lineage: Bacteria
Description: partial 16S ribosomal RNA
Rfam family: Bacterial small subunit ribosomal RNA
Source: RNAcentral